UGGGGAAUUUUGGACAAUGGGGGAAACCCUGAUCCAGCCAUCCCGCGUGUGCGAUGAAGGCCUUCGGGUUGUAAAGCACUUUUGGCAGGAAAGAAACGUCAUGGGUUAAUACCCCGUGAAACUGACGGUACCUGCAGAAUAAGCACCGGCUAACUACGUGCCAGCAGCCGCGGUAAUACGUAGGGUGCAAGCGUUAAUCGGAAUUACUGGGCGUAAAGCGUGCGCAGGCGGUUCGGAAAGAAAGAUGUGAAAUCCCAGAGCUCAACUUUGGAACUGCAUUUUUAACUACCGGGCUAGAGUGUGUCAGAGGGAGGUGGAAUUCCGCGUGUAGCAGUGUAAUGCGUAGAUAUGCGGAGGAACACCGAUGGCGAAGGCAGCCUCCUGGGAUAACACUGACGCUCAUGCACGAAAGCGUGGGGAGCAAACAGG
Molecule: ribosomal RNA, 429 nt
Filed under: Acidobacteriota bacterium
Lineage: Bacteria; Pseudomonadati; Acidobacteriota
Description: Acidobacteria bacterium partial 16S ribosomal RNA
Rfam family: Bacterial small subunit ribosomal RNA
Source: RNAcentral